This 1484-nucleotide long non-coding RNA is filed under the name Ananas comosus (pineapple). Its description in RNAcentral is "long non-coding RNA (ACOM_LNC014643)". Lineage: Eukaryota; Viridiplantae; Streptophyta; Magnoliopsida; Poales; Bromeliaceae. The record is from RNAcentral.
CAUGCAUGCUUAUCCAUUUAGAGGGUUGCAACCUACGCCUCCUUAAUUAAAUUUCCUCCCUCUUUUUUCUCUGGAGCCGUACGCAAGGAGGAGGAGAACCCGGUUGGAGCUCGUGUGUCGUCGACGUCGCGCCGCGGUACCGUAUGAGCGUGUGUUCGUCGUCGUAACAUCGCGAGAAGGCCGGGCGAGGGUGCGUUUACGCCGUUUUCGACGUCGUGCCGGAUUGGGUUUUGUGUUUGAGGUGGGUUUAUCAUCGGAUUUCUACUCCUAUAGCCUUGUUAGUCAACAUGUAUAGUUAGGAUAUCUGCGUUGGUACUGUUUAGCUCAGAUUCAUGUUUAUGCAUUGUUCUAGGCUUAUGCAUUGAAUUGGGAGCAUGUUACUGUUUGUUAUUAAUUAUAUAUGUUGGACUUGGAUAAAACAUAGGAGAAAAUCAGUGUUCGGAACUUGUCAUAAGUUAAACUACCUGAUUUAGCCCUAGGGGCCAUUGUAUGUUUAUACAGUUGCAGUAUCCUCUUAGUGAGUGUGUCAGGUAGUUCAGAUUUCAGUUACGCUCGUGCUGGGAUGCCGAGCCGAUUUUUACAGUAGUGUUUACAGUAUUCCGGACUAGUGGGUGCCGUAGUGGUUGACGGCGGACCCGGAAUUGAUUGUUUCGGUAUCAGAUUGUGCCGAGAGCAUGUGGCUAGUGGUUGGUAGUACUGUUAGACCUGUUUUCUUGACUUUAGCCUAUGAGAGCCUGAUUGAGCUCGACAGAGAUAUGCUUGCAUACUCGGUUGGGUCGCGCCCCCGAGUGCCGCUCCGGAGUCUGGCUUUGUGCUUUCGCGUUGAUAUCACUGACUAGUUUUGCUAUCCACAGACUGUUUUGCGUGGAGGUAGCGUGGCUUAGACAGGCGGGGUGGGUGUAUCACAGUCCCUGAAUAGAUUAGGCCAGCAUUAAUAUUUUUACUACAGAUAAUUAGAGUAGAGCAUAAUAGUGUAGUGAUAUUUAGCUGUAGAUGUUUCCAACUUUCCUACUAUCCCAGCUCCUUUCUGUAGACUUAGUGGGUGGACCGAUGAUUGUUGCGGGCGGCACCCACUGAGGACUACUUGUUUUUACAGUAGUUCUCACGCCCAGUUGUUACCCUAUGUUUUGCAGAGCCUGCUGUUCCGGCUGCUGCGUCUUCAGAGGCAGAUCGAGGCAAAGGCGUCGCGAGUUAGAGCUGUACCCGACGAGUUGCUGAGAUAGAGGAUCCACCAUUACAGGUAGUUCCGGUUUAUUUUGUUGAGUUCAUGUAUAUACAGUUGUUAUAACUCGCUGGAGCGAGUAUCUUUGUAUAGCGUUUUGUUGUAUGUAUGUGAGACUUGUUUUAUUCUACCUGUUUGGUUUCUUUACAGUUCUAUACUACUGGUUGUAGUAUUGUAUAUUUUCAGUUACCGAUACGCUUCAUAUACAGGAAAAAUUUUUUGUAUACGGCGGAUUUGUCGACGUGCCCGAAAAUUGUGUAAU